GACGAACGCUGGCGGCGUGCUUAACACAUGCAAGUCGAACGGAAAGGCCCUGCUUUUGUGGGGUGCUCGAGUGGCGAACGGGUGAGUAACACGUGAGUAACCUGCCCUUGACUUUGGGAUAACUUCAGGAAACUGGGGCUAAUAUCGGAUAGGAGCUCCUGCUGCAUGGUGGGGGUUGGAAAGUUUCGGCGGUUGGGGAUGGACUCGCGGCUUAUCAGCUUGUUGGUGGGGUAGUGGCUUACCAAGGCUUCGACGGGUAGCCGGCCUGGGAGGGUGACCGGCCACAAUGGGACUAAGGUACGGCCCAGACUCGUACGGGAGGCAGCAGUGGGGAGUCUUGCGCAAUGGGCGGGAGCCUGAUGCAGCGGCGCCGCGUGCGGGAUGACGGCCUUCGGGUGGUGAACCGCUUUCGCCUGUGACGAAGCGUGAGUGACGGUAAUGGGUAAAGAAGCACCGGCUAACUACGUG
RNAcentral lists this ribosomal RNA (468 nucleotides) under uncultured bacterium. Its description in RNAcentral is "partial 16S ribosomal RNA". It matches the Rfam family "Bacterial small subunit ribosomal RNA", at positions 28 to 507 of the family's 1533-position model. The record is from RNAcentral.